This 391-nucleotide ribosomal RNA is filed under the name uncultured bacterium. RNAcentral's name for it is "bacterial SSU rRNA". It matches the Rfam family "Bacterial small subunit ribosomal RNA", at positions 28 to 420 of the family's 1533-position model. The record is from RNAcentral.
GACGAACGCUGGCGGCGUGCUUAACACAUGCAAGUCGAGCGGUAAGGCCCUUUCGGGGGUACACGAGCGGCGAACGGGUGAGUAACACGUGGGUGACCUGCCCUUAGCUCUGGGAUAAGCCUGGGAAACUGGGUCUAAUACCGGAUAUGACUCCAUGACGCAUGUUGUGGGGUGGAAAGCCUUGUGCGGCUAGGGAUGGGCCCGCGGCCUAUCAGCUUGUUGGUGGGGUGAUGGCCUACCAAGGCGACGAUGGGUAGCCGGCCUGAGAGGGCGACCGGCCACACUGGGACUGAGACACGGCCCAGACUCCUACGGGAGGCAGCAGUGGGGAAUCUUGCGCAAUGGGCGAAAGCCUGACGCAGCGACGCCGCGUGAGGGAUGACGGCCUCGG